RNAcentral lists this ribosomal RNA (497 nucleotides) under uncultured bacterium. RNAcentral describes it as "partial 16S ribosomal RNA". It matches the Rfam family "Bacterial small subunit ribosomal RNA", at positions 28 to 507 of the family's 1533-position model. The record is from RNAcentral.
GACGAACGCUGGCGGCGUGCCUAAUACAUGCAAGUUGAGCGCUGAAGGUUGGUACUUGUACCAACUGGAUGAGCAGCGAACGGGUGAGUAACGCGUGGGGCAUCUGCCUUUGAGCGGGGGACAACAUUUGGAAACGAAUGCUAAUACCGCAUAAAAACUUUAAACACAAGUUUUAAGUUUGAAAGAUGCCAUUGCAUCACUCAAAGAUGAUCCCGCGUUGUAUUAGCUAGUUGGUGAGGUAAAGGCUCACCAAGGCGAUGAUACAUAGCCGACCUGAGAGGGUGAUCAGCCACAUUGGGACUGAGACACGGCCCAAACUGCUACGGGAGGCAGCAGUAGGGAAUCUUCGGCAAGGGACGAAAGUCUGACCGAGCAACGCCGCGUGAGUGAAGAAGGUUUUCGGAUCGUAAAACUCUGUUGGUAGAGAAGAACGUUGGUGAGAGUGGAAAGCUCAUCAAGUGACGGUAACUACCCAGAAAGGGACGGCUAACUACGUG